GACGAACGCUGGCGGCGUGCUUAACACAUGCAAGUCGAACGGAAAGGCCCUGCUUUUGUGGGGUGCUCGAGUGGCGAACGGGUGAGUAACACGUGAGUAACCUGCCCUUGACUUUGGGAUAACUUCAGGAAACUGGGGCUAAUACCGGAUAGGGGCUCCUGCUGCAUGGUGGGGGUUGGAAAGUUUCGGCGGUUGGGGAUGGACUCGCGGCUUAUCAGCUUGUUGGUGGGGUAGUGGCUUACCAAGGCUUUGACGGGUAGCCGGCCUGAGAGGGUGACCGGCCACAUUGGGACUGAGAUACGGCCCAGACUCCUACGGGAGGCAGCGGUGGGGAAUAUUGCACAAUGGGCGGAAGCCUGAUGCAGCAACGCCGCGUGCGGGAUGACGGCCUUCGGGUUGUAAACCGCUUUCGCCUGUGACGAAGCGUGAGUGACGGUAAUGGGUAAAGAAGCACCGGCUAACUACGUG
This 468-nucleotide ribosomal RNA is filed under the name uncultured bacterium. Its description in RNAcentral is "partial 16S ribosomal RNA". It matches the Rfam family "Bacterial small subunit ribosomal RNA", at positions 28 to 507 of the family's 1533-position model. The record is from RNAcentral.